Aegilops tauschii subsp. strangulata is the source of this 2266-nucleotide non-coding RNA. Lineage: Eukaryota; Viridiplantae; Streptophyta; Magnoliopsida; Poales; Poaceae. The record is from RefSeq and is a predicted model, not a curated record.
ACUUCCCCAGCCGCCUCACACUCUCUCCCAUGCCCAGCCGCCUCACCUGCUCCCUUCUCGCCGUCGACCUCUUCCGCGGCCCGCCACGGCGAGAACGGAGCUCGGACUUGUGUUGCUGCUCUCUCUCAGACCCCCAUUCCGGUGAGCAGCCUCACUCUCUCCCCCGUCUCCUACCAGACUCGACUCUUUCUUGCUCUCUCUCCCAGAUCCCCAUUCCGGUGGCCGUUUUCUGCUCGAAUCAAGCUGCGUGCGUGUAUUCCUGCCGGCGGCCUUCUCCGUUGGGGUUCGGUUUGAUGUGGUGUACAGCGAGGAGGCCGUGGGCGACCUGCUCGCCACCCUCAACCAGCUAUCCGGCCCGGACACAACCAUACUGCUCGCCAUCCCAUCCUAGCCGAUUCCAUUCCACCAUCGAUCCCUGCUGCUGAAUGAAUGAUCAAGUGUUUCUGUGAAUGAAUCAGCAGACAUGGUGGGGUGCUUCUUAAUUAGAGGGGGGCCCAUGGCGGAGGGGAGGCGAGACGAUGUGAGGAUGCCAUGGCGGCAUCCGUCAGUCUUCACAACACACAAUGCGGACGCGAGAGCCUCAACAGCAGCUACAACCGCCAUUGCCCAACAACAAUCUGCCACAAGGAGUUAAAAAUCAAUUGAGACGCUUAGCACAAUAAUGACAAACUAGUAAUAAAUAAUCAAGAUCGAGAUGUUUACCACAAUGGACUUGUGUCCUCACUGUACGGGAGACGACGCCAGCCUCAACCCAGUCAACUCUCGACGGUCGUAAUUGUAGCUUAUCAAUGCAAGGCGAUGAGGCGUCAAGAGCACUGGGUAAAGAGCUGGUGACACGGCUGGUCAUACAACGAACUGAAAUUCUGAUAGCGGCAAAUGAAGCCAUCACAAUGACGAGUCUGCGAUCCCUACAGAAGGAAAGGUUCAAAAUCCUCACAGUAUCAAGUACAGUGGUACAAUUCAAGGGCUUAAGUAUAUAUGGAGAACCGAAGGCCUUCGUAGACUGUUUAAGGGCAAUGGAAUAAACUGUGCAAGGAUCGUCCCAAAUUCCGCUGUGAAAUUCUUCAGCUAUGAGCAAGCAUCAAGAGAAUGCUCAGCCUAGUCCACUCUUGCGCCUUGGAGCUGGAGCCACAGCUGGCAUCGUAGCCAUGUCUGCUGCUUAUCCCAUGGAUAUGGUUAGGGGUAGGAUUACUGUUCAGGCAGAGAAGUCUCCCCGUGGUAUGUUUCAUGCAUUGGACACAGUGUACUGUGAAGAAGGCUUUCAGUGCUUUAUACAGAGGGAGGCUUCCGUCAUUGAUUGGAGCUGUCCCUUAUGUUGGACUUAACUUUGAUGUAUACGAUUCUCUGAAGGACUGGCUCCUCUGGACAAAUGCGCUUGCAAAGUACAACGGGUUUCACAUAGUAACAAGGCUUGGAUGCGGAGCUGUGGCUGGAACCAUAGGGAAGACUGGCAUACCCUCUUUGAUGCUGUCAGGAGAAGAAUGCAGAUUUUUUUUUUUUUUGAAAAAGAGAGCGGCCUCUCCGAUUUCUAUUUAUCAGAAACCAUAGCGUCUUGGAACAAACAUAAGAGAAGCUGAAGCUAAGGAAAUGAGAAGAAUGCAGAUGGUUGGCUGGAACCUGGAAUCACGCUGCUUCUGUUGUUACUGGAGAAGGCAAAGAGGCAUUCAGGAAGAAUGCAGAUGGUCGGCUGGAAUCACACUGCUUCUGUUGUUACUGGAGAAGGCAAAGAGGCACUCCAGUACAAUGGUAUGACUGAUGCAUUCAGGAAACUGUUGGCCACGAAGGAUUUGGUGCUCUGUUCAAGGGUCUUGGGCCCAACUCAGUGAAGCUGGUGCAUUCCAUAGCUGCAUUCGUCACGUACGAGGAUGUUCUUGUAGUAGAAGGCGAGUACAAGGACAAUUGGACUGACCGAGGCUCCAUUCAGCACAAGAAGGCCCUCGCAGCCCCUGUCGAUAUAUCUAUCCUACUACUGGUCAAGGCCCUAAUUGUUGCCGCACCGCACUCUUGGGGAAGUAAUAAGUUGGCUGGUGAAGACCCUAAUUGUUGCCGCACCGCACUCUUGGGAAAGUAAUAAGUUGUUGGCAUUUCCUAGUCUGCCUGUUUGUAAUUGGUGACUUGUAAGUCCCAUUUGUCUACAGCCACUGGGUGUUGUAUCACUAGUAGUUUCCAUGAGCAUGAGUGAUGAAAUGUCACUUGACGAACAACUAUUUUUGCCUAGUUUCUGAUAUUAUGUACUGAAUUUAUGUAAAUUUUGCUUCUGGGCUUA